UACGAAGGGGGCUAGCGUUGUUCGGAAUCACUGGGCGUAAAGCGCACGUAGGCGGUCUUUUAAGUCGGGGGUGAAAUCCUGGAGCUCAACUCCAGAACUGCCUUCGAUACUGGAAGACUUGAGUCCGGGAGAGGUGAGUGGAACUGCGAGUGUAGAGGUGAAAUUCGUAGAUAUUCGCAAGAACACCAGUGGCGAAGGCGGCUCACUGGCCCGGUACUGACGCUGAGGUGCGAAAGCGUGGGGAGCAAACAGG
This 253-nucleotide ribosomal RNA is filed under the name uncultured bacterium. Its description in RNAcentral is "partial 16S ribosomal RNA". It matches the Rfam family "Bacterial small subunit ribosomal RNA", at positions 524 to 776 of the family's 1533-position model. The record is from RNAcentral.